AUGAACGCUAGCGGCAGGCUUAACACAUGCAAGUCGAGGGGCAUCGGGAGUAGCAAUACUUGCCUGCGACCGGCGCAAGGGUGCGUAACGCGUGAGCAACAUGCCCGUAUCAGGGGGGAUAAUCCAUGGAAACGUGGUCUAAUACCCCAUAGUAAUUAUGUAAGGCAUCUUAUAUAAUUUAAAGCUUUGGUGGAUACGGAUUGGCUCGCGUGACAUUAGCUAGAUGGUAAGGUAACGGCUUACCAUGGCUACGAUGUCUAGGGGUUCUGAGAGGAAGGUCCCCCACACUGGAACUGAGACACGGUCCAGACUCCUACGGGAGGCAGCAGUGAGGAAUAUUGGACAAUGGAUGGAAAUCUGAUCCAGCCAUGCCGCGUGCAGGAAGAACCGGCCCUAUGGGUUGUAAACUGCUUUUGUAUGGGAGCAAUGAGGGCUACGCGUAGUCCGAUGAGAGUACCAUACGAAUAAGCACCGGCUAACUCCGUGCCAGCAGCCGC
This 497-nucleotide ribosomal RNA is filed under the name uncultured bacterium. RNAcentral describes it as "bacterial SSU rRNA". It matches the Rfam family "Bacterial small subunit ribosomal RNA", at positions 29 to 518 of the family's 1533-position model. The record is from RNAcentral.